AUCGAACGCUGGCGGCAUGCCUUACACAUGCAAGUCGAACGGCAGCGGGGGAGAAGCUUGCUUUUCCUGCCGGCGAGUGGCGAACGGGGGAGUAAUACAUCGGAACGUGCCCUGUAGUGGGGGAUAACUAGUCGAAAGAUUAGCUAAUACCGCAUACGACCUGAGGGUGAAAGUGGGGGACCGCAAGGCCUCAUGCUAUAGGAGCGGCCGAUGUCCGAUUAGCUAGUUGGUGGGGUAAAGGCCUACCAAGGCGACGAUCAGUAGCUGGUCUGAGAGGACGAUCAGCCACACUGGGACUGAGACACGGCCCAGACUCCUACGGGAGGCAGCAGUGGGGAAUUUUGGACAAUGGGCGAAAGCCUGAUCCAGCAAUGCCGCGUGUGUGAAGAAGGCCUUCGGGUUGUAAAGCACUUUUGUCCGGAAAGAAAUGGCUCUGGUUAAUACCUGGGGUCGAUGACGGUACCGGAAGAAUAAGGACCGGCUAACUACGUGCCAGCCGCCGCCGUAA
This 508-nucleotide ribosomal RNA is filed under the name uncultured bacterium. RNAcentral describes it as "partial 16S ribosomal RNA". It matches the Rfam family "Bacterial small subunit ribosomal RNA", at positions 30 to 523 of the family's 1533-position model. The record is from RNAcentral.